GCUAUGGGUGCCAUUGGGUGCUAUGGGGUUGUGUAGGGUGCUAUGGGUGCCAUUGGGUGCUAUGGGUGCCAUUGGGUGCUAUGGGUGCCAUUGGGUGCUAUGGGGUGGUGUAGGGUGCUAUGGGUGCCAUUGGGUGCUAUGGGUGCCAAUGGGUGCUAUGGGGUGGGAUGGGGAUGCUGUGGGUGCCAUUGGGUGCUAUGGGUGCCAUUGGGUGCUAUGGGGUGGGAUGGGGAUGCUAUGGGUGCCAUUGGGUGCUAUGGGUGCUAUGGGUUGCUGUGGGGCGCUGUGGGGUGGUGUAGGGUUCUAUGGGCACCAUAGGGCUGUGGAAAAUCCUAAAAGGAGAUUCCUGAAGGAAAACCGAAAGGGGGGGGAACCCAAAAGGGGGGGACCCAAAGAGGGGGGGAACCCAAAGGGGGAAACCCAAAGGGGAGGGGAAACUCAAAGAGGGGGGAACCCAAAGAGGGGGGACCCCAAAGAGGGGAACCCAAAAGGGGGGAGCCCAAAAGGUGGGGAAUCCAAAGGGGGAACCCAAAGGGGAGGAACCUAAAAGGGGGGGGAACCCAAAGGGGAGAACCCAAAGAGGGGAACCCAAAGGGGGGAACUCAAAGAGGGGGGAACCCAAAGUGGGGGGAAUCCAAAGGGGGAAACCCAAAGUGGAGUGAACCCAAAGAGGGGAACACAAAGGGGGUGGGGAACCCAAAGGGGGGGGACCCCAAAGAGGGGAACCCAAAAAGGGGGAGCCAAAAAGGGGGGA
This 754-nucleotide long non-coding RNA is filed under the name Numida meleagris (helmeted guineafowl). RNAcentral's name for it is "lncRNA (ENSNMEG00000002410.1)". The record is from RNAcentral. Lineage: Eukaryota; Metazoa; Chordata; Aves; Galliformes; Numididae.